AGGUGUAACUGGUGUCGGUAGCUGGCCCGUUUUCUUCCUCUACAUGCACCUUGAAGCAGACGAAGUUGCACCAGAGUCUGUACAGUCAUCAUCUGCAGGACUCCAGUACCUGAUCGUAGCCCUGACCCUGAGACCUCUGACCCCACCUGCCAGGUCAUUCUCAUGCCACCUUAACCUGCUGAAACCAGAGAGCGCUGCGGGGGAGAGGAAGUGAGCCUGCAUCAAACGGUUAAAUCCAGUUACAGAGAGACAAAGAACGGACCGGACCAGCGGAAACCACGCACAGCCAGAUGGAGGGGAGACUCUGAAGAUCGAGUGGGAGACGGGGGAAAGUGAGAAGGGUCGUGGUAACAUCACGCUGCUUUUCCAUCGGGUUCAGUGGGGCGGGAUGCCCUGGUGGCAAACACCCAGGUUCAGGAUGAAGAUCUGUCACCAGAGGGACAAACCUGUAAGAGACUGGCUGCUGAAAAAUGCAACACAAUACAAAAAUACACAAUUUCUGUGAUCAUAUUCACUUUUUGAUAAGAAAGUCUGGUUUGUUUAUGGAGGAGUGAAUGUGCGAGAAGUGAACUCUUGUGUGGUUUGAAUGCAUAUGUGAACACAAAGUGAACCAAAGAUGGCGUUAAGAAAAGCAGGAAGUGGACUACAGCACAGGGCAUUCUGGGUAAAUACAACCAAAACAAAGGCAUUAGCCUAACGCUAGCAGGAAAAAUGGCUUGUGGUCUUUUACUAGGGACAGAAGAGAUUUCCUCCAGCUGCUAAAAUGUGACACUCUGUUUUUGUUUUCAUUUCAUGAAGAAGGAAGUUGCACUCAGUGUCUUCUUAAGAAGUUUUUUUGUUGUUUCUUUCAGUGGUUCUUGGUGCAGCGCCCCCACAGGUAGGGAGGGGCUCAGGUUUUUCAAAGAGUUUGGUUCGUUUAACUGCAGUGGGGAAGAGAAGCACAGCAGCUCAAAAUGUAACGAUGUCUGCGAUCGAACCAAGUCUACCAGACUAUCAGGUGUGAAAACAGCCCAACUGUUUUUUGUUUCAUUACAUUUGCUGCAUAUAGUUUUGUGACGCGUUGUGUUUGUGAUUGUUUUUGUUCACCAGUCUUCUAUGAUUGGAGGAUAGGAUAUGAGAAACCCAUAUAAGUAGCACCGAUUUAUUUCUCCUGAUGUUUCACAAGAUCUAUAUUAUACACUACAAAAACAUAAAAUCUUACCAAGUGUUUUUAGUCUAGUUUGUGGUGCGAGCAUCUUAAUCCUAUUUCUAGUGUGCAAACUUUUC
Molecule: long non-coding RNA, 1266 nt
Organism: Xiphophorus couchianus (Monterrey platyfish)
Lineage: Eukaryota; Metazoa; Chordata; Actinopteri; Cyprinodontiformes; Poeciliidae
Exons: 3
Source: RefSeq, a predicted model, not a curated record